UUUAAUGUAGAAAACCCAAUGG
Molecule: microRNA, 22 nt
Filed under: Bos taurus (domestic cattle)
Lineage: Eukaryota; Metazoa; Chordata; Mammalia; Artiodactyla; Bovidae
Description: bta-miR-10184-3p
Source: miRBase by way of RNAcentral